AGUCAAACGAGGCGAACCGGGGGAACUGAAACAUCUCAGUACCCCGAGGAAAAGAAAUCAACCGAAAUUCCCCCAGUAGCGGCGAGCGAACGGGGAGCAGCCCAGAGUCAACAUCAAUAUUUAUCGUAGGAGAAGGGUCUGGAAAGGCCGGCAAUAAAGGGUGAUAGCCCCGUAUCUGAAACGGUAAGUGUUGUGAACUCGAAGAGUAGGGCGGGACACGUGUUAUCCUGUCUGAAUAUGGGGGGACCAUCCUCCAAGGCUAAAUACUCCUGACUGACCGAUAGUGAACCAGUCCCGUGAGGGAAAGGCGAAAAGAACCCCGGCGAGGGGAGUGAAAUAGAACCUGAAACCGUGUACGUACAAGCAGUGGGAGCACCCGAAAGGGUGUGACUGCGUACCUUUUGUAUAAGGGGUCAGCGACUUAUAUUCUGUAGCAAGGUUAACCGCAUAAGGGAGCCGUAGGGAAACCGAGUCUUAACUGGGCGUUAAGUUGUAGGGUAUAGACCCGAAACCCGGUGAUCUAGCCAUGGGCAGGUUGAAGGUUGGGUAAC
This 551-nucleotide ribosomal RNA is filed under the name Arsenophonus endosymbiont of Bemisia tabaci. RNAcentral describes it as "bacterial LSU rRNA". It matches the Rfam family "Bacterial large subunit ribosomal RNA", at positions 168 to 760 of the family's 2925-position model. Lineage: Bacteria; Pseudomonadati; Pseudomonadota; Gammaproteobacteria; Enterobacterales; Morganellaceae. The record is from RNAcentral.